Long non-coding RNA from Ochotona princeps (American pika), 454 nucleotides. RefSeq lists it as uncharacterized. The record is from RefSeq and is a predicted model, not a curated record. Lineage: Eukaryota; Metazoa; Chordata; Mammalia; Lagomorpha; Ochotonidae. The transcript is spliced from 3 exons.
AGAAGAGCAGCAGGCUAAGGGACUCCUGGUGUUCACCUGACCCUGGGCCAGGGACUCCCACCCAUCAGUUCCUGAUGUCAUGCAAUGGAGACAGUAACAUGAAGCCAGGACUCUGCAAAACUGAGAACAGGAGAAGGGAGAGAAUGCAGCUCACCUGGACUGGUGCUUUGUGAGAGUUGCUUAGCAGAAGCAAACAUGGUGGCCACAGAUUCUAGAAACUAAACCAGAGACAAUUAGAAAUAGCCGUAGGAUCUGGGAGCCCGAGUCAUCACUGAAUUGCUCAUGGAAUGGAUGUAACAGCUUGACAGACUCUCCAAAACUUGGGAAAGAAAAACCACACAUAGUGGGAGUUAUUUAUCGUCAUACAAUCAAAACAACCAAAUACUGUCAGCAAGACUUCCCCAGAGAAAUUCCAAGCCCAACUCACCUGCACACUGCGACCUGGCCCACUUCA